Molecule: transfer RNA, 73 nt
Filed under: Canis lupus familiaris (dog)
Lineage: Eukaryota; Metazoa; Chordata; Mammalia; Carnivora; Canidae
Also listed under: 1 other name
Rfam family: tRNA
About the family: Transfer RNA (tRNA) molecules are approximately 80 nucleotides in length. Their secondary structure includes four short double-helical elements and three loops (D, anti-codon, and T loops).
Source: Rfam by way of RNAcentral
GCCUGGCUGGCUCAGUCAGUAGAGCAUGUGACUCUUAAUCUUGGGGUCAUGAGUUAAACGCCCAUGUUGGGCA